UACGUAGGUGGCAAGCGUUUGUCCGGAUUUAUUGGGUUUAAAGGGUGCGUAGGCGGCCGCUUAAGUCAGUUGUAGAAAUAUCCCGGCUCAACCGGGAGGGUGCGAUUGAUACUGGGCGGCUCGGAGUAACAGCGAGGUUGGCGGAAUUGACGGUGUAGCGGUGAAUGCAUAGAUAUCGUCAAGAACACCGAUAGCGAAGGCAGCCAACUAGGGGUUAACUGACGCUGAGGCACGAAAGUGCGGGAUCGAAACAGG
RNAcentral lists this ribosomal RNA (255 nucleotides) under uncultured bacterium. Its description in RNAcentral is "partial 16S ribosomal RNA". It matches the Rfam family "Bacterial small subunit ribosomal RNA", at positions 524 to 776 of the family's 1533-position model. The record is from RNAcentral.